UACGUAGGGGCCGAGCGUUGUCCGGAGUUAUUGGGCGUAAAGCGCGCAGGCGGCCUCGCGCGCCCGACGUGAAAGCCCCCGGCUUAACCGGGGAGGGUCGUUGGGGACGGCGGGGCUUGAGGGCGGGAGAGGGUGGUGGAAUUCCCGGUGUAGUGGUGAAAUGCGUAGAGAUCGGGAGGAACACCCGUGGCGAAGGCGGCCACCUGGGCCGACCCUGACGCUGAGGCGCGAAGGCGUGGGGAGCGAACGGG
RNAcentral lists this ribosomal RNA (251 nucleotides) under uncultured bacterium. RNAcentral's name for it is "partial 16S ribosomal RNA". It matches the Rfam family "Bacterial small subunit ribosomal RNA", at positions 524 to 776 of the family's 1533-position model. The record is from RNAcentral.